Molecule: ribosomal RNA, 530 nt
Filed under: Russula densifolia
Lineage: Eukaryota; Fungi; Basidiomycota; Agaricomycetes; Russulales; Russulaceae
Description: eukaryotic LSU rRNA
Rfam family: 5.8S ribosomal RNA (bases 127-280)
Source: RNAcentral
CUUUGUGCAUCACCGCGCGGGGUCUCUUCCUCUUGGCUUGCUUCGAGAGGGGGAGGCUCGCGUUUUUCAUACAAACACCCUUCUAGUUUAGAAUGUCAUUCAUUUGCGAUCAUACGCAAUCAAUACAACUUUCAACAACGGAUCUCUUGGCUCUCGCAUCGAUGAAGAACGCAGCGAAAUGCGAUACGUAAUGUGAAUUGCAGAAUUCAGUGAAUCAUCGAAUCUUUGAACGCACCUUGCGCCCCUUGGUAUUCCGAGGGGCACACCCGUUUGAGUGUCGUGAAAUUCUCAAACCUUCUUGGUUUCUUGAUCAAGAUGGCUUUGGACUUUGGAGGCAUUUGCUGGCUUUGCGAAAAGCCAGCUCCUCUUGAAUGCAUUAGUGGGGUCCCCUUUGCCGAUCCCCAGGCGUGAUAAGAUGUUUCUACGUCUUGGGAUUUGCUCUGUUCCUUGGGAACCCGCUUCUAACCGUCUCAUGGAAGACAUCGUUCGAGCUUGCUCGACCCACGAACCUUGACCUCAAAUCGGGUGAG